This 253-nucleotide ribosomal RNA is filed under the name uncultured bacterium. RNAcentral describes it as "partial 16S ribosomal RNA". It matches the Rfam family "Bacterial small subunit ribosomal RNA", at positions 524 to 776 of the family's 1533-position model. The record is from RNAcentral.
UACGUAGGAGGCAAACGUUAUCCGGAGUUACUGGGCGUAAAGGGCGUGUAGGCGGUUUGUUAAGUCUGGCGUGAAAGCUCUCGGCUAAACCGGGAGAGGUCGUUGGAUACUGGCAAACUAGAGGACGGUAGAGGCGUGUGGAAUUCCGGGUGUAGUGGUGAAAUGCGUAGAUAUCAGGAGGAACACCGAUGGCGAAGGCAGUUCUCUGGGCCGUAACUGACGCUGAGGAGCGAAAGCGUGGGGAGCGAACAGG